Molecule: unclassified non-coding RNA, 254 nt
Filed under: Hevea brasiliensis (rubber tree)
Lineage: Eukaryota; Viridiplantae; Streptophyta; Magnoliopsida; Malpighiales; Euphorbiaceae
Source: RNAcentral
AGCAUUGUUUAAUUCUCUCCCCCACUUGCUAAUGGGUGGAAGAGGCUACUCAUCGAUGCUUAGAUUAAAUUUGAAGUUUGUCAGGCUUCUUUGAAUUCUUCAUGAUAGAGGAGUUUGGAAAAUACUUCUACAUGUAUUGUUAUUACAGAACCUCAAUAAUUCCUAAUUUACCUAUUUCCAAUUAGGUUAAGUUACUACUUACGAUUUAUGUUCUUAGCAGGUCCAUCCUAUGAAGCUGUUGAUGAAGACCUGAG